RNAcentral lists this ribosomal RNA (427 nucleotides) under uncultured bacterium. Its description in RNAcentral is "bacterial SSU rRNA". It matches the Rfam family "Bacterial small subunit ribosomal RNA", at positions 355 to 774 of the family's 1533-position model. The record is from RNAcentral. RNAcentral also lists the same sequence under 1 other name.
UGGGGAAUUUUGGACAAUGGGCGAAAGCCUGAUCCAGCCAUGCCGCGUGAGUGAAGAAGGCCUUCGGGUUGUAAAGCUCUUUUAGUCGGAAAGAAAGAGUUGCAAUGAAUAAUUGUGAUUUAUGACGGUACCGACAGAAAAAGCACCGGCUAACUACGUGCCAGCAGCCGCGGUAAUACGUAGGGUGCGAGCGUUAAUCGGAAUUACUGGGCGUAAAGGGUGCGCAGGCGGUCUUGCAAGUCAGAUGUGAAAGCCCCGGGCUUAACCUGGGAAUUGCGUUUGAAACUACAAGGCUAGAGUGCAGCAGAGGGGAGUGGAAUUCCAUGUGUAGCAGUGAAAUGCGUAGAGAUGUGGAAGAACACCGAUGGCGAAGGCAGCUCCCUGGGUUGACACUGACGCUCAUGCACGAAAGCGUGGGGAGCAAACA